GAAACAAAACAAAUAUUCAAUCACAUUUUGUUUCAUUUUUAUAGUUGUUUAAUUAAUUGAUGAGUGCUUUUACUCCCUAUUAUCUUGAAUUUUUGACCAUAUGCAUUUAAUGAUAAUUUGGCAUCAGCGAGAGAUUCGAAGGCAUGAUUCGAGCGACAGUUGCAGCGAAAGAGGCAGUUACUCUCUUUAAGCUUGAUCAGUAGAUCGUGGGUUCAUGGGCUUGAAAAGCUGGCGAAGCACGUUUGCACAAGCAGUUGUGUAUUCUUGUGCCUAUAAAUAGUAGUUCCUUUAGUUGGAAUAAGGGUCACAAUUCAUAUACAAAAUUCACAAACCUAAAGUAUCCAUGCGUUCGAGAGAAAAUGGUGAAGUGAAGAACAUGUAUGAAUUCGUGAACCAUUUACUUUCUUUGUAAAACUUUUACAUUUUUAUGCAAUUUUAAUAUUUCUUUUG
This is a long non-coding RNA of Trifolium pratense (red clover), 450 nucleotides long. RefSeq lists it as uncharacterized. The record is from RefSeq and is a predicted model, not a curated record. The transcript has 2 exons. NCBI's taxonomy places the organism in Eukaryota, Viridiplantae, Streptophyta, Magnoliopsida, Fabales, Fabaceae.